CCGGAGGAAGGUGGGGAUGACGUCAAGUCCUCAUGGCCCUUAUGGGUAGGGCUUCACACGUCAUACAAUGGUCGGUACAGAGGGUUGCCAAGCCGCGAGGUGGAGCCAAUCCCAGAAAGCCGAUCGUAGUCCGGAUCGGAGUCUGCAACUCGACUCCGUGAAGUCGGAAUCGCUAGUAAUCGUGGAUCAGCAUGCCACGGUGAAUACGUUCCCGGGUCUU
RNAcentral lists this ribosomal RNA (220 nucleotides) under uncultured Rhodocyclaceae bacterium. RNAcentral describes it as "partial 16S ribosomal RNA". It matches the Rfam family "Bacterial small subunit ribosomal RNA", at positions 1163 to 1382 of the family's 1533-position model. The record is from RNAcentral. Lineage: Bacteria; Pseudomonadati; Pseudomonadota; Betaproteobacteria; Rhodocyclales; Rhodocyclaceae.